CAGUAGCCACGGUAAAACGAAGGGUGCAAGCGUUAAUCGGAAUUACUGGGCGUAAAGCGUGCGUAGGCGGUUUGUUAAGUCUGUUGUGAAAUCCCCGGGCUCAACCUGGGAAUGGCAAUGGAUACUGGCAAGCUAGAGUGUGUCAGAGGAUGGUGGAAUUCCCGGUGUAGCGGUGAAAUGCGUAGAGAUCGGGAGGAACAUCAGUGGCGAAGGCGGCCAUCUGGGACAACACUGACGCUGAGGCACGAAAGCGUGGGGAGCAAACAGGAUUAGAUACCCGAGUAGUCCCUGUCUCUUAUAC
RNAcentral lists this ribosomal RNA (301 nucleotides) under uncultured bacterium. RNAcentral describes it as "partial 16S ribosomal RNA". It matches the Rfam family "Bacterial small subunit ribosomal RNA", at positions 509 to 807 of the family's 1533-position model. The record is from RNAcentral.